RNAcentral lists this long non-coding RNA (619 nucleotides) under Homo sapiens (human). Its description in RNAcentral is "HSALNT0275053". The record is from RNAcentral. Lineage: Eukaryota; Metazoa; Chordata; Mammalia; Primates; Hominidae.
CAGAGGGGAUCGCAGUGGAGACUGCACUCGCUUCAGCAGUUACCAGCUCUGGUAAUAUCUGUUGAGCAACUGCUCCAUGGCAGGGCUGGGGAGGUGGCCCGUGAACAAAUUGGCCAGGGCAGGUCCCUGCUCCGACCUGUGGUGCUUGCAGUCACCGUCUGGGGAGGGACUGCAAAACCACACAGACAGUACGACAGACGGUGCACCAUGAGGAGAAGGUCUGGCUUCCAUGAACAUGUGCCACAGCGGGAGCAAAGUAAAUGAGAUUGGAGGGGGCCAGGAGGAAAUGACAUUGAAGCUCAGAGGAAGAGAAUUUAACCAGGACUGGACUGUCUUCCGGGGGCGAUCAGAGCAAAGGCGCUAAGAUGACAGGAGCCACUAUGCGUCUGAAGAAGCCAGGGGCCUGCAGAGGGAGGCAGCCGCUGUUGGGAGGUCACAGAGCGUCUGCAGCUGACUGGGAAGCCCUCCUAACUGGCGCACCUGAGGGGCUGGGUGCCCGUCUGCUGCUUCUGGCUGCCCUGGCCCGCAGUAGUAGUAAGUCUCCUCCUCACCUCCCUCUGGCCCAAGCAUGGAAAACACCAAGUCUUCCUGUCUCCUGAACACAGUUGGGACUAGUGGG